CAACCCUGACGCAGCCACGCCGCGUGCCGGAAGACGGCCCUAUGGGUUGUAAACGGCUUUUACCAGGGAAGAACCCGGGCCUUUCGAGGCCCGCUGACGGUACCUGGGGAAUCAGCACCGGCUAACUCCGUGCCAGCAGCCGCGGUAAUACGGAGGGUGCGAGCGUUAAUCGGAAUUACUGGGCGUAAAGCGCGCGUAGGUGGCUUGAUAAGCCGGUUGUGAAAGCCCCGGGCUCAACCUGGGAACGGCAUCCGGAACUGUCAGGCUAGAGUGCAGGAGAGGAAGGUAGAAUUCCCGGUGUAGCGGUGAAAUGCGUAGAGAUCGGGAGGAAUACCAGUGGCGAAGGCGGCCUUCUGGACUGACACUGACACUGAGGUGCGAAAGUGUGGGUAGCAAACAGGAUUAGAUACCCUGGUAGUCCACGCCGUAAACGAUGUCGACUAGCCGUUGGGUUCCUCGAGGACUUAGUGGCGCAGUUAACGCGAUAAGUCGACCGCCUGGGGAGUACGGCCGCAAGGUUA
RNAcentral lists this ribosomal RNA (521 nucleotides) under uncultured bacterium. Its description in RNAcentral is "bacterial SSU rRNA". It matches the Rfam family "Bacterial small subunit ribosomal RNA", at positions 378 to 896 of the family's 1533-position model. The record is from RNAcentral.